UUUCCUUACGGGGAGCAGCAGUGGGGAAUAUUGGACAAUGGGGGGAACCCUGAUCCAGUCAUGCCGCGUGUGUGAAGAAGACCUUUAUGGUUGUAAAGCACUUUAAGCGAGGAGGAGGCUACUUUAGUUAAUACCUAGAGAUAGUGGACGUUACUCGCAGAAUAAGCACCGGCUAACUCUGUGCCAGCAGCCGCGGUAAUACAGAGGGUGCGAGCGUUAAUCGGAUUUACUGGGCGUAAAGCGUGCGUAGGCGGCUUAUUAAGUCGGAUGUGAAAUCCCCGAGCUUAACUUGGGAAUUGCAUUCGAUACUGGUGAGCUAGAGUAUGGGAGAGGAUGGUAGAAUUCCAGGUGUAGCGGUGAAAUGCGUAGAGAUCUGGAGGAAUACCGAUGGCGAAGGCAGCCAUCUGGCCUAAUACUGACGCUGAGGUACGAAAGCAUGGGGAGCAAACAGGAUUAGAUACCCUGGUAGUCCAUGCCGUAAACGAUGUCUACUAGCCGUUGGGGCCUUUGAGGCUUUAGUGGCGCAGCUAACGCGAUAAGUAGACCGCCUGGGGAGUACGGUCGCAAGACUAAAACUCAAAUGAAUUGACGGGGGCCCGCACAAGCGGUGGAGCAUGUGGUUUAAUUCGAUGCAACGCGAAGAACCUUACCUGGCCUUGACAUACUAGAAACUUUCCAGAGAUGGAUUGGUGCCUUCGGGAAUCUAGAUACAGGUGCUGCAUGGCUGUCGUCAGCUCGUGUCGUGAGAUGUUGGGUUAAGUCCCGCAACGAGCGCAACCCUUUUCCUUACUUGCCAGCAUUUCGGAUGGGAACUUUAAGGAUACUGCCAGUGACAAACUGGAGGAAGNNGGGCACGAANCGUCAA
This 865-nucleotide ribosomal RNA is filed under the name Acinetobacter baumannii. RNAcentral describes it as "bacterial SSU rRNA". It matches the Rfam family "Bacterial small subunit ribosomal RNA", at positions 334 to 1188 of the family's 1533-position model. Lineage: Bacteria; Pseudomonadati; Pseudomonadota; Gammaproteobacteria; Moraxellales; Moraxellaceae. The record is from RNAcentral.